AAGUCGAACGAAAAGACGGAAAGAGCUUGCUCUUUCCGGAAUUGAGUGGCAAACGGGUGAGUAACACGUAAACAACCUGCCUUCAGGAUGGGGACAACAGACGGAAACGACUGCUAAUACCGAAUAAGCCCACGGUACCGCAUGGUACUGAGGGAAAAGGAUUUAUUCGCUUCAGGAUGGACUCGCGUCCAAUUAGCUAGUUGGUGAGGUAACGGCCCACCAAGGCGACGAUCAGUAGCCGGACUGAGAGGUUGAACGGCCACAUUGGGACUGAGAUACGGCCCAGACUCC
This 291-nucleotide ribosomal RNA is filed under the name uncultured Subdoligranulum sp. RNAcentral's name for it is "partial 16S ribosomal RNA". It matches the Rfam family "Bacterial small subunit ribosomal RNA", at positions 59 to 339 of the family's 1533-position model. Lineage: Bacteria; Bacillati; Bacillota; Clostridia; Eubacteriales; Oscillospiraceae. The record is from RNAcentral.